RNAcentral lists this ribosomal RNA (440 nucleotides) under uncultured bacterium. RNAcentral describes it as "partial 16S ribosomal RNA". It matches the Rfam family "Bacterial small subunit ribosomal RNA", at positions 338 to 795 of the family's 1533-position model. The record is from RNAcentral.
CCUACGGGUGGCAGCAGUGGGGAAUAUUGCACAAUGGGGGAAACCCUGAUGCAGCGACGCCGCGUGAGUGAAGAAGUAUCUCGGUACGUAAAGCUCUAUCAGCAGGGAAGAAAAUGACGGUACCUGACUAAGAAGCCCCGGCUAACUACGUGCCAGCAGCCGCGGUAAUACGUAGGGGGCAAGCGUUAUCCGGAUUUACUGGGUGUAAAGGGAGCGUAGACGGCAGGGCAAGUCUGGAGUGAAAUGCCGGGGCCAAACCCCGGGACUGCAUUGGAAACUGUGCAGCUGGAGGGCAGGAGAGGUAAGCGGAAUUCAUGGGGUAGCGGUGAAAUGCGUAGAUAUGAGGAGGAACACCGGUGGCGAAGGCGGCUAACUGGACGGUAACUGACGUUGAGGCUCGAAGGCGUGGGGAGCAAAAAGGAUUAGAUACCCUUGUAGUC